This 71-nucleotide transfer RNA is filed under the name Marmota monax (woodchuck). Its description in RNAcentral is "tRNA.Thr". Lineage: Eukaryota; Metazoa; Chordata; Mammalia; Rodentia; Sciuridae. The record is from RNAcentral.
GGAUAUGGCUUAGUGGUAGACCACUUGCGUAGUAUACACAGAGCCCUGGGUUCAAUCCCCAGCACUACCCA